This 304-nucleotide long non-coding RNA is filed under the name Phoenix dactylifera (date palm). Its description in RNAcentral is "long non-coding RNA (PDAC_LNC014714)". The record is from RNAcentral. Lineage: Eukaryota; Viridiplantae; Streptophyta; Magnoliopsida; Arecales; Arecaceae.
GUUUCCUUUCCUCCCGUAUCCCAUGAACAAAACCAAUCAAAACAGAACCCAUCUUCCCAGCAGUCCACCUGUGAUGCAUGCAAAAGGUUCCACGCAUCAAAGGUUUCUUUCCUUCCGGAUUCCCCUGUGUUGAAACAGAGUCCCAGCGAUUCCUCCGUGAUCCGACUUCAUUCUUAUCCCAAAGCCAAGAUCCAUUCCAUCGCGACGGAUUCCUCCCAGCCUUUUUGCUCCCAUCCGCCCGUUGUUCUCCCACGAACCGAUUCCAUCCCAGCUUAUCCCAACUAGAUUCCCAACUCUCAUCCUC